This is a long non-coding RNA of Aedes albopictus (Asian tiger mosquito), 1187 nucleotides long. RefSeq lists it as uncharacterized. The transcript is spliced from 2 exons. NCBI's taxonomy places the organism in Eukaryota, Metazoa, Arthropoda, Insecta, Diptera, Culicidae. The record is from RefSeq and is a predicted model, not a curated record.
UUUAACCUUCCGUAACUCGCGCGGUUGACUACCUGCGUCAGCACCACGCUAAUGCUGAGUACAAAAUGCGAGAUUUUUUCAACGUGUUGUACAAAAUACAACAGCGCGAUCGCUCGUGGGUUAAAAACAAAAGGCUACGCCACUUUUUCAAUUCUUUCUAAGCAUGGCUGCCGUUCCAAGCAAACAAAACUCAUGCAGCCGCCAUCAAUUGUUAUUACCUUUAAUCCAAACCCCCUCAAAACAAUGAUGGAACCAAGUCACCUUGCAUGAACGCUGCAGCCUUUAUUGAAGAUUGUUUUUACUAGUUAUGAUCUUAAGGCAGAUUUGUUCGUCUUAAAUGAAACUUAUUCGUUUUAUACAAGAGUAACAGCCUUUGACAAUUGUUUGUUUACGUUUUCGAUGCUAGAAAGUUGUCUCUGUACAUUUCGCGGUGUUUCGCGUCAAGAUCUGCCAAUUCCAUUUUGUUUCCCUGUAUUUUUGCUAUUAAUAAUGAAGUGCAAAUUACUACAAUUACACUAUUUGGCAUGAGCUUGAGCAGAGUCACAGUAAGUACCCAUUUCAUUUUCGAUUCGCAUAGCUAUGGCCUGUGUGAGAAACUGGUUGAAGGCAGGUCGACAGCUACCAGCUACUCGCAUUUUUGAUUGGCCGUAAAAUCAUUAUUUCGUUGAUAUGAUUACUUUUUAGCACAAGAAUGGCUAAAUUAUCAGUGAGCAAACAUGUUUAUGUGUUUAUAUUUGCAUGAGAACGCGGUUUUUCAACCAAUUUGUUACAUUCAUUAUUUGGAUUGAAAAAUAGUUCGUUGUCUUAUCAUUAUUUCGCAUAGUUCUUGUUCCAGAGUAAUGGCUCUAGCUCAAGAAUAGAAGGCUUCAAGAAGUUUUUAAAGGAGGAUUAGCCAAAUGAAAUGCACUUGAAUAAACGAAGCAUAAACUUUUAAUAAAAUAUGUUGAUGUUAUGUGUUGAAAAUAACUCCAAAUAGGGUUUGUGUUCCAUCAGUAAUCUCACGCUCCCAAUUUCAUCCUAUUCGAAAACAAGCGAUUACGGCACCGAUUGAUUCCGUUCUUUUUGUUUUCAUGCGUGCUCACUUCUAACAAAAAAUACAAAAAUAAGAAACAAAACAAACAGUGCUUCAUUCCUUUGUUUUUCAUAGGAUGAAAAUGGGAGCCACAUGCUUAAUAAGGGAACCAAUA